Long non-coding RNA from Chenopodium quinoa (quinoa), 2055 nucleotides. RefSeq lists it as uncharacterized. The transcript is spliced from 3 exons. NCBI's taxonomy places the organism in Eukaryota, Viridiplantae, Streptophyta, Magnoliopsida, Caryophyllales, Amaranthaceae. The record is from RefSeq and is a predicted model, not a curated record.
UUUUAACAAAAAAAGGAGCUAUUGCCACGGUAGUGUAUUGUAUGAUGAAAAAUUUAGAAACGCGCGGAGUACUUCCCUCUAUUUUUUUGCCCAAUUUUUUUGAACAACAUAUUCCCCAAUUUUCACUCUGUACUUCCCAUUUUCUCCAUUUUCCACAUUCUCAUAUUUUCCCCAAUUCUCCAUAACUACUUCCAAAUUCUAAGAGGACAAUUACUCAAAAAUUCUAAGGGCUUUGUUUUUGAGGGUGAAACACCACACAUGGUGGUGUUAGGGUUAGGGUUCCACCACGGAACCACUCCAAAACCACCUCCGUUGACGAAUUGGGCGCAAAUGAGGAGGUUCACUGUUAUAAUUUAGGCAAAUGAUAAACCGUCAAUGUUUUCGCUCGCCAUAGCCCAGCUUCCUCGAGUACUCGGAGCUGCUGUCUACAGUUGAUGGAAUUGUUGCUGCUGCCGGAGAUUUAAACUGAAGAAAAGAGGAGAGAGAAAUUUUCAAAUUCAGUAACAAUAGAUCCUGAAUUCACUGAGAUUUCCCAGAGCUUCGAACGUUUCAAAUUAAGCUGCUUCUGUUCGCAAUGAUUUCAACACCUCCACUCGUCUCCUUUCUCAGCUUAAGCAAAGACAAUUGGGCGCAAACGAGGAAUUAGGGUUUGGUUCUGGGUCUGGUCAUCACUUCCUUACAAAAUCACUUGCAAUGAUGAUGAUGUGAACUUGGAGUCCCCCCUCUGAGCUCCUUAAACAGGCUUAAUUUUGGUGUAGGGAGCUGCUGCCACCUGCUUUGUGUUGCUUUUGGGGUGGCUCUUGCUGCUGGGCUGCUACUGCUCUAGAUUCUGCCUCUGCCUGUUCUUCUUGCUGUUGCUACUGCUCUAGCUGCUGCCUAUGCCUGCUCUUCUUGCUGCUGGUGCUCUUCUGUCAGUUAGUGCUGUCAGCUUUGUUGGGUUUUUUUUGAUAUUUUAUUUUGUUGUUUUGUAUUGGCAUGUUGGUGUAUCUUUGGUUGUUUUGGUUUUGCUUGUUUUUGUUGGUGUUUGGACUUUGGAGUGGUUGUUUUUGUACCGUCCCUCAGGACAUGGGUGCCCUUCCUUGAGGGUAGCUCCCUUCCUUUGAGGUCAGGGAGCCUUUGUCUGGUUCAAGCUCUAAAAGAACCCUUCCUAGAAGGUGGCUUUUGGAGUUUGGAUCUUAGGCUGGUGGGUGUGCAAAUAAUACAGUUGUUCGAUUGUUUUUAAUUAAAUAUGAAUAAUAUCUCACUCUUGUCUAAGUCAUUUGAGAGAGGGAGUGACAGAUUAAGAGAGAAUAAAAAACCUGUAAGUAUAUGAUUAUGUUUAGCCUCCUUAAAGAAAGAUUAUUGUUAUUCUAAUGAUGCUUAUCAUAAGUAUAUAAUAUGGUUAUUGAACAGCGUGCAGGUACACGAAUAAACUUUCGGAACUUCAAGUUUAUUUUUUACUUCUUUUUUUCUGCUUGAAUUAUAUAUGAGAAAAGAGGAAUGAUGGAUGUUUAUCUUUUUGUGAUUUUGAAUUCUUGAAAUUGGAUUAUGUUUUUAUAAGGUUUUUGGGUUUUAUUUGAUAUAUGCAGGUUGUAAGGAAUUGACUACACUGAUUUUUGUCUUUUUUUUUUUAUUUUUUUAUUUUUUUAUUUUUUUUACUGGUAUAGCUUGCAAUUAAUAAUAUUCAUGAGCUAAUUAGUUUUCGACGAAAAGAACGAACUGACCUAUAUUUAGGAUGAUGUAGGUGUAAACAAUUGCUUGAGCACAACAACGAUUGCUAUGACAGGAGUUGGACUCGAUUAAGGAAACUUUGAACCCUGAGCUGCAAAGAGCUCCAGCAGCAUUCAACAUCAUCAAGUACUAGUAAAAUAGGUGGAUACUGAAGUUGAAGAAGGUGCUUCCCGAAUUGCUUUACUUGAGAAAUUGGAGGAGUGGGAGAAAGAAAUGAUAUUUGCAGCCCAAACAAUUGCUGAAAAUAUGGUUUGGGGGACAAAAUGAUUUAGUUUUAAUAUUUUAAUUGUUUUUUUCUUAGUUUAACUAGUGAUAAUUUAAUUUUGUAAUUUUUCUUAUAGAUAA